GACGAACGCUGGCGGCGUGCUUAACACAUGCAAGUCGAGCGGUAAGGCCCUUUCGGGGGUACACGAGCGGCGAACGGGUGAGGAAUACAUGGGUAACCUACCCUCGAGUGGGGAAUAACUAGCCGAAAGGUUAGCUAAUACCGCGUACGCUCCUUGGACUUCGGUUCAGGGAGGAAAGCGAUACCGUGGGUAUCGCGCUCUUGGUUGGGCUCAUGUCCUAUCAGCUUGUUGGUGAGGUAACGGCUCACCAAGGCUUCGACGGGUAGCUGGUCUGAGAGGACGAUCAGCCACACUGGCACUGCGACACGGGCCAGACUCCUACGGGAGGCAGCAGUAAGGAAUAUUGCGCAAUGGGCGAAAGCCUGACGCAGCGACGCCGCGUGGGGA
RNAcentral lists this ribosomal RNA (387 nucleotides) under uncultured bacterium. RNAcentral's name for it is "bacterial SSU rRNA". It matches the Rfam family "Bacterial small subunit ribosomal RNA", at positions 28 to 407 of the family's 1533-position model. The record is from RNAcentral.